UCAACUUAAUGCUGUGCACAUCUGAAAAAAUAUGUAUUAAAAACAUUUCUUUGACUUUAAAUCAGCUUUAAUGAAAAUCGAUGCCAUAGUUUUUUAGUAGAAUGUUUGCAGUGGAGAACUAUUUCCACCCAUAUGUGUGCUUCAUAUUAGUUUUUGUCACACAUUUUUAACAAUGUUUUUAAAAAAUAUGAAUAGCUAACACAGUUUGACUGAUUAAGAUUCACUGACAGAAGGUAGUUUGAUAAAAGGUAAUCUAAGUCCAUACCUCAGCAUCCAGGCCAAAAGAAUUAUUUCUAAUGGCAUCCUUUAAAUGUGCCCUCUCCAAAGCCUCCCAUAGGUCAGCAUCAUUGUGUUCACUAAAUGGAUCGAGAUUAAAUCGCACAGUUCCUAUAAGAAAACGAAUGACAGUUAGAAUGAAACAAGUGUUAAGAUUAAUCACCAAUGUGGCUUCAGCUUGGCUAUGGUUUCUCAAUCAAAUCUCAAGUAUUCUUGGUUAGCAAGCUUUCAAGUGGAAAACAAAAUCAAAACAGAGUAAGAGCAUAAAUCAUCUCAACUCAUCCAAAAGACAGUAUCAGAUGUCAACAUAAGAAAAGAAGUUGAACUAGAAAAAUCCAGUUUUCAGUUUCUCUUGACAGUACCUGAGAAGAGAACUGGUGAUUGGGGUAUGAUACUGAGAAUUUUCCGCAAAUCUGUGAGUCCAAACUUAGCAACGUCACAACCAUCAAUGGUGAUUUCUCCUCUUUCCAGUUCUACAAUACGGAACAGUGCAUUUAGCAUGCUAGAUUUCCCUGCUCCUGUUCUUCCAACUAUUCCUAGCUUUUCACUAGGAGAGACUUCAAAGGACAAAUGAUGUAAGACUGGAGGAAGCUCGGGUCUGUAACGCAGAACAACAUCUCGGAAUUUAAUUGAUCCUGACGAAGGCCAUGCAGGAGGAGGACGAUUGGUCUCGACAAUGGCAGGAGCUUCGGAGGGUAAAUCCAUGUAUGUGCCAACACGCUCAACAGAGUUUAAGCUAUUUUCAGCUCUACUAGCAUGUCUUAGAACAUUACUCAACAGACCAGUGAUGUUCAAAGUAUAACUAAGUAGUAGACCCAUUUCAGAUGCAAAUUCCACAUGAUUUUCUGUUCUUCCAUUCCCCAAAACUGCAAAUGUUGCUAUCAACCAAAUCAUGAUCCCUCCUAGUGUUACCAACCUUAUGGUGAGCCAGUGAUUUGAACUCAUAUUUACCAGAGUAAACCUGAUAUUAUUGUCCAUAGACUUCCCAUUGAUGAUUGCCAUCCAAUCAUAUGCUUUAUAUGCACGAAUACUUGACAAACCAUUUAACGCUUCUCCAAAUUGUGCAUAAACUGGAGACCUGGUAAUGGAAUCCAGACGUUUCACUUCACGGGAUGUGCUCUGUACAAUACAGUACAAGAACAUAGUUAUUAGAGCUUGUAGAUACAAUACUGACAAGAUGAAUUAACUACCAUAAAAAUGUCAAUUCAACAUUAAUGGAUAUAUAUGAUUGCAGAAACAGUGACUCUGAGGAAUUACAAUGAGAUAUUUAAACAACAGGUAAUGGGUAAAAUGUUUUGAUCACGUACAUAGUUGAAGGGUAUGGAUUUCUUUUUCUUGCUGAAGAUCUUUUAAUUGAGCCUACAUGAAUUCUGACAUGAAAAACUUUAGAAUUUAUGUAAUUGCUAUGGUCUAAGGUUAUUCUAAAUUUUAAGAGACAUGCAUGUUUAGCUUAUUUAGGAUCUGAGUGGCGUUAUAUGAGAAGAUAACUCUUACAUGUGGAACUGAUAAAAACAACAAUAAAUUGAUACAUGAAAGAAACCACCUCGUAGAGCAUCCCAACCAAGAUACUAAAGUUACAUUCAUUGCAAAAGGCAUACCAGUUUCCAAACAACAACAACUAGGGAUUUCUCAUCAUACCUGAUAAUAUAGAUAGGCUGAAUAAAACAAGAUCAGAAGUGGCAUAACAGCCCACAAUGAUAUUGUGCUCACAAUGCCUAUCAGCACAAAAGUUGAAAACAGCUGCCAGGCUUGGUUUAGAAAAUUGUUGGCAAUAUUGGCCACGUUACGAUCUAUUUCACCUAGAUCCUUCGCAAACCUAUUGAUUAUUCUCCCAGAUGGGUUAGUGUGGAAAAAUAGCAUGGGAGCUCGUAGGAUAGAGUCUAGCAUGGCAUCAUGAAGUCUUUUGGCUGCAUGAAGACUUGAACUGAUUAACCAAUAAGAGUUCACUAGAGUCACAAUCACCUGAACCAGAAAUAUGAAGUAAGACUCUAAUGACCAUAGCAAUUACAUAAAUUCUAAAGUUUCUUCCUCACUGCUUCUCUUUUUUGUUUCAACAUCUGUUAUUCUAUGUUAAAAAACAACUGCAAAUGAAAGAAAGUAGAAUGGAUUAAGCUAUUUCUUUCUUUUUCCUGCUAAAAGCUUACAAAUAUUGCGACUCUAAGAUAUUGAUGCCAACUGUGGCUGUGAACAAACCUGACCAAAUGAUAGAAGUGCAUACACGAAAAUGUAGUAUCCUGGCUUAUAACUCUCCAAAGUACUUUGAUUAGUCCAAACACUCAACCAUGUACUUCUUGAAACUCGAAGAACUUCAGUUAAUAAGUAGCACAAAAAGAUUAUUAAAACCACCAAUAUGCCUCCUAAUGCAUUGUUAUACCUGCAAAUGGACAUAAAAAUGUCAAGUACGAGAGCAACAAAAUUCUCUUCGAAUGUUUCAUGUUUAUGACUAGCAUAAAUGCUAUUGAAAAACUAGGAAAUAUUAAAGUAUUCACGUUACAGAAUGGCCAUUAGUUGAAAAAAUGUUUCUACCACUGGUUUUAAGUGCUUGCUGGAGAGCUUAAAACUACAAAGACACUGUAUAACAUGGGAACAUCUGCAGUAAGUAGUUGGUAUCCAAUGGGCAUUAAAUGGUUUUGCAUCCAAAAUACGUGCAUUUGAGCAUCGCUAGUCUUCAGGAUAUCCAGAGCUACCUUGGCCACAAUUGUGGUACAACAGUUAAAGACUACGAAAUAUGUUUUCAACUUUGACCCGCAUUGAAAUUUUCUUAGUAGACCAAAGAGGUUUACCCAUGAACUUGGUUUGCACGCUUCGCUGCUGUGAGCAUCAUAUAAAAAUCUGUUGAAUGUAUUCAGAAAAGGGUCUCUAUCCUAAGGCAUUGUUCAGAAAUUGCGCAAACAAUCAAAGAAAUAAAAUAUAGCAAGAAUCUUAAAUAAGCCCCCUAAAUUACCUAAUCAAAACAUUCCAACUGACAACACCUGUUUCACGUUCUUCUUGCUUGAUAAGUACAGAUUUCCCUCCUUUCACUUUCAUCUUGUAACCUGCUUUUUGUGGCAAAUCAUUUCCCCCAUUAGCUGCUGGUUUUAAGCUUUUGCAGUCCAAAUUUUCACUGUUCUUUUCUUCCACUAGCUCUUCCAUUUUCCCUGCAUUUUCCAUCAGCUUCUGGAACAGCUUGCCAUUUUCAGAGAGUUCCUCAAAGGUUCCCUCCUCUUUAAUCAUACCUUCACUGAGAAGAAUAAUUUUAUCCACUUGUGGAAGAAAAUGUAGCUGGUUGGUGACAAGAACCCUGGUUUUUCCUUGCAACUCGUCCUUAAUACAACUGUUGAAGACCUGUAAAUUUGAGAUUAGGCUAAUAUUUAGCUUAAACAGAAGCUUUUUAAGCUUACUUUUAGAGCUUCGAUGUGUAAAGCUAGCGAUUGUCAAAGUCAUGAAACACUAAGUAAUAUGAAAAAAGAAACAGAGAGAGAUUCCCUCGAACUCAUAACUUGGUCUUCAAGGAAUAGCAUCGUUGGAAUAAAGUUAUUGAAUGUUCACUUUGUAUAAAGAAAGCUUAAGAAUAAAGAGCUGCUCAUCACCGUGAACCAUAUCAAGCUCGCUAUAAGAUAGAGCACAAGUAGCACUAGUGAUCAAAUUAACUUUAAUGUGAGCUUAUAGUAUUUAACAUGACCCGGUACCUGUCGACCAACAUGAGCAUCUAAAGCGCUUAAAGGGUCAUCGAAUAUGUAUACAUCUGAAUUGGAGUAGACAGCCCUAGCCAUGGAAACUCUUUGCUUCUGCCCUCCACUAAUAUUGACUCCUCUUUCACCUAUCUCAGUGAGGUCAUGGCCCUGAACAAACAAUUAUGAGGUAAUCUUCUAAGACAUAUUUCAAACAAAACAGAAGAAUCAAGAGAGAGAAGAAAGGGAUGCACUUAACUGGAAGCAAGUCGAGAUCAUGUUGUAAUGCAGUUACAUCAAUAGCUUUCCAAUAGCGUGAAGGUUCAUAUUCUGACCUAAAUAAUAUGUUGUCACGCACCUGUAAGAACAGAUUUUCAAUGUCAAGAAUGUGCACAACAUUAAUGCAAAGCCUGAGAAGAUCCAUGAAACUUGGCUUUGAAGCACAGAAGCACUACAAAGAUACAAAAUAAAUGAUAAUUAUGUCAGAGACCAAAAUUAAUUAACAAAGAAGAAACUAAGCUGUAACUCACAGUAGCAUUGAAGAUCCAUGAAACUUGAGGAACAUAUGCAACAGUCCCUCUUAUAACUACACUUGCAUCUUCCAUAGGAGGCAGUUCUCCAAGCAUUGCUGAUAUAAGAGAUGUUUUUCCUUCUCCAGUCCCGCCAACAAUUGCAACUAAGCUGCCAACUUGUAUUUUUAAAUUGAUAUCUGACAACGUUGGCUUUUCUAGCUGGAAAAGGCAUGCGAUUCUAAGAUUUCUUGAAUAAGAAGCAUGUCUGAGCGUUAAAAUCAAUAAGUAGACCACAAAAAAUAACGUGGUGUUUAUUUGCCACCACACUUCCUAACAAUGUUUCUAGUAUAAUUCCUAAUUUAACUAUGUUUAGAAUACAAAAUUCCAAUCAAGUGCAAAUACAAAAAUUCCAAAUAAAUAUCAAAUCCAACUUCCAUCAAACCACAAGACCAAUUUCUUAGAUGCUUAAGAUUUAGAAGUUAACCUUUGAAUCCCAUAAAAAGUUCCCAUUUUCAAUUGAGAUAGCUGGAAUUCCAAGUUUAAGAGGCAGAUUUGGUGCUAAAAUUCUCUCUUCAGCUAAAAACAGUUCCUCCAAGCGUUGCAAUGAUAUAUUUGCAUUUACAACCUACAGAACAAGUUAAAGUUAGACACCUAUGAAAGAAUACAGCCAAUAUGAGUAAUCAUACAGCACGCAAGGUAAGCUAAUUAGCUCUUGACUAAAUAACAUGAAUUUUAUUGUAAGCACAUAAUACAGCCACAGAUUCAUUGAAGAACAUGAUAAUGUUUUCUUGAGAUAGAAUUGUGCAAGAAAAUAAAGCUACUAAUUUUUUCAUUCAAAAAAGUUCUUUAUAUCUCUCCAGCAAAGUUUUGGUGUAAUUAUAAAUAUUUUGGUAUGAACAUUUUUUUUGGGAUUUUGUCAGUAGAAAAGUAUUUUGUAGGAUUUUUUGAUAGACGACUGCUUUACAAGGGUUUUUAGUACCAAUCCUCGCAUAUUAAAAAAAAACAACAGGUUUUAGAUAAAGGAUCAAAUUCAUGCUUUUUAGGAAAAACUUGUAUUUCAGAUCAUUUAUCUUUUUUUCAAAACAGCCAACCGCACUAGCAAACACAAAUCUGGUAUGUGACAUGAAACAUGAAGAAUUAUGACAAGAAUGCAAGGACUUUUUUUUUUUUUUUUUGGUGGGGGGCUCAGUUUGCAUCAAAGGCAAUGCUGACAUUAUCAACAAAACUUGUAUAUUAUCAAGUAUAAUUAGUGAAAUAGAAAAAAUAACAGAACCUGGCUUAGUAAGUUAGGAAGCAUGUUUAGAGGAGAUCUUAAGACUUGAAACAGAGAGAGUGACGUAAAUGCCCUUGCAGGUGUCAAAUCUCCGCCAAGCAAGGUGAACGUGCCGAAUGAAACCAGUGUCACAAUAACUGGGAUGAUGUUCAGUAUAAAACUAUUGAACUGCAAUAGAAGGGAAAUAGUCAUUCAAUGCACAUGUAAGGUUCUCGUACAUUUAACACCAGCAACACGUAAAGAUUGCAGUACUCUGGUUAGUAUUGCAUUUGCAUAUAGAGGAUCAAGAUCACUUGUGCAACAAAAUAAGCGACAAAUCAUGCCCUUUCAAGUGAUUAGUUAUAGUGUCUCCAUGAUCAUUAUAAUUCUACCAAAUUAGAUUAACUGAUAUGCUUAUUUACACAUUAGAGGAGCAACUCAUUAUAAUUAUACCAGAUUAGAUUAAAUGAUUAUCAUAUUUACAAAUUAGAGCAAAAUAAAUGAUAAAAUACAUGUCAGAAGCAUUGUCUGGAGAUAGAUUUUUACAUUAUAUAUAUGGAUACUUGUUCUCUAUCGGAAUGUAGUUGCAUACUCAAUCAAUUAGUCAAAAUUUAAGUGCACAAGCCUCUCUCUCUCUCUCUCUAUUUUUAUUUUGACUGAGGUGCACAUACUUAUCAUAACACAUAGGUAUACAUGACUCCACAUGACUCCAUAGGUGGUGGGAUGUAGGAUAUGAUAGAAAUUUUGACAACUGUUUCUUCUCAAGACAAAUCAUACUUCACAGUUACAAUUUUCUAGAUUUCAUUAUGAAUAUAAUUUUAAAUGGAAUCAUUGAAGCAUCAUGCUUUUUGCACAUUCUUGGAAGAGAAGGAGCAACAAAAUAACUCAGCAAGAUAUAUAGUUUGUUCCAUACAGCCGAUAGUAAUUGUGCACCGCGAAACCAUGACAACUCAUCAUCCCGCACACUUUGAAUUCUGGAUUGAAAGCUCUUCUCCCAUGCAUAACAUCUGAAAUAUUUCAUUAUAGAGUCAAAACAAUGACUUGAAAUGGCAUGAGACUGAAAAUAUAAGAGCAAUUCUUCUUAAACUUAAACCAUACUUCAUAACAUCCAUGGCAGCUAAGAUUUCAUUCAUGAGGCUAACUCUUUUGUCUGUCCUAUGCAAUCCUUCCUUAGUUAGCUUUCUCAUCUUGCUCAUCAAAAUUGUCUAUCGCACAAAAAGAUUAAAAGGAAUGAAAAUCAACGUGGAUGGAAUGAAAAUGGAUCACUUAACUAAAUUAAUUGCACAAUUCUAUCAAACUACAGAAGUAAUGAUACUUCUAAAAUCUAAUGACUUGAUACAACAACUCUGAGCAUAUAAUAAUUUACCUAUGGAUUUUAACUGAAUUUUGUAACUUGUGCUAGAGUUAGAAAAGGUAACUUCUGAUUCCAUGUUUUGACUCAAAAUAUCUUUUCAAGCACAAAAAGACAUCAACUUGAAGUGAUAUGCAUUGUAAUAUUACCAAACAUAUUAGCAACUUACAAAAUUCACUUGUGGACUUGUUUUACAAUGGAUAAAUUAAAGUAACACCUUGCAAAUUGCAAGUCAAUCUUAAGUACAGGAGAAAUUUUCCUUCCAUAUGCGAGGUGAAACGCUCACAUAUGGAAGGAAGAGGGGCAGAUGUUAUAUCCAAAAUUUAGUUAGGCCCAAUAAAUUUGUUUAAAUGUACGAGAGGCAUGCUAAUUGGAAACUCUCAUAACAAGGAAAACAGUUAUAAGAGAUAAGCAUGUGGACCGAUUUUCCCAACAACUUGGAAGAGAGUGGGGACUAAUGAAGUGUGAUAAUAGCAUGAAUUGACAACAUAGAGCAUUACAAGACAAUGUGGAUGGUCGGAAAAAGAAUGUGGAGCAUUGCAAAGGACGUAGCGGGACAAUAAGGUAUUAAUACAAGCUGAAGUAGAGGAAAAACACAUCAAUCAACAUGUUAAUAACACAACAAUCAACUUGCAAACUACAAACAGCUCUCAGAGAUCUUUAUCCCAAGUUUCAGGACACCUGAAGCUUGUUAUGCUAUAGCUGUAGGCAGUAACACCAUAGGCUGAUAGAUAGAUUUGUAGGUUGAUAGUUUGGUUACUCGGUUCUACUUUGUAAACUAAUAGUGUCUGUAUGCUCUUCAACAAUCUUCUAGUAUUGAAUUCCUACGUGAACAUCAUGUCUGAAGGAAGAGUCCAGGUUUGUAAACAAAAUUUCUCACCAAUGAAAGUAAGUGCCCUUUUUAGUCUUGCGUGUUAUUAAAGUUGCAAUCUCACUUUUUUUACUUUAAUGUUGCUUGAUUCCAAAAUUAGUAGCAUGAGCAUAUUAUUUAUUGCUAUAAAGUCUGGAGAGUAUAGUCAUCAGUUUAGAGAUCAUCUUUAUUACACACACACACAACAAAAAAAAAUCAUGUUGGUGGUACAAAAAUGGUAUAACUGAGCUUUUAGUUUAUGAGGUGUUCGACACCACACCAUUGCUGUUUAUUUUUAAGAGUUGAUGUGGCACAAUUAUAUCGUCAUGGUUCAACCAGCCCGAGUCAGGCAGUUAUGAAGGUUUUUGGGUGAUUCGAUCAAACCGGUUUUCAAUGGUUCUUGUGGGGCAAAUUAUAAGGCAAUCUAUUCCCUCGACCUAGACCAUUCUAGAUCUAGUUUACCUGUUAAACUGGCAGGUCUAGUUUAGUUCUAAUAACACUAGUACACCCAACAUACCAACAAGCCAUUCAAGAAUAUUCUAGUGUGCCUACAUAACUUGGAAGCUAAGCCAUCUAUUCACACCUUAAAUAGACCUUGCUAUAUGAGGAGACCCUAAUGCACACAAAACAGCUACUCUAUAAGUUAUGAGCACAUCAAUUAACAUUUUGGAGUGCUUGAAAAUUUUAUUUUUAUUGAUAUUAAAUAAAUUAUGAUUGAUCUGAAUAACGUGAAAAGAGCAAUACAGUUGACCCCAACCAGUUUGAGAUUGAGGGACACUUGUUUGUUGUGUCAAUAUUAAAACAAUAUAAAGGAAUAUCACACAGAUUGUAUAUUAUAAAACUAAUUAACUAAGACAAGCAAAUGUUGAUUCUAAGAAUCAAAACACUAAAUUUAGCAAAAGGAAGAAUAUUUCUUACUUGUGUGGGGACCAUGAGAACAAGCAUUAGUGAGCCAAAAAGUGAAGCAACACCUAAUUGUUGGUAAAGAAGAACCAUGGAGAUGGUGAUACGAAAUGGAGCAGACCACAAUCCAUGAAGUUGUUGGCAUAUUUGCUAUGGAAUACAAUGGCAGUGCAUUUUAGACCUUAAUAAACAAUGGGAAAAGAACGAAUAUCGGAGAGGAAAGGUUAAAAUAAAAAUAGGAUAAAUGGCUUGAUGUGUCCAUGUAUAAUUAAAAAGGUCUCCAAUAUUAUCUCUUUUAUCCUUGUAUAGUAUCACAUUCUUUAAUAUGUUCCAUCAAAUUUUGCCAUCUAAAUUGAUAAAAGUGUAUUUUUUUUUUGUUUCAAAAUUACCCUUGAGCAAUUCAAAGAUGUACUAUAAAUAAUUGAGAAUGUAAGGACAUGUUCGAGAUUUCUCCAACUAUAUAACUUGUAAAAUUAAUUUUUCAAUUAGCGAAUUGAUUCAUGAAUUUUAGGGGGGGGGGAGAUAAAGGGAUGUUAGAAAGUCAUGUAAUUUAAAACAACUCAAAACAUGGUAGUUGGUUUUUUUUUUUUGAAUAAUUAUAGUAGUUAUUGAUUAAAAUAUUAAAUGUCCACCUAUGACAAAAUUCUUAUAUUCCUUUUAAAAAUUAAUUAUUUCAUAAUUCAAAACCUAAAAAAAAUGGUUGUCUCCCUCUUCCCUUGGAAAUUCAUUGUUACAUAUAACUCCCAAAGCCAAGAUUCAAGAACAAGCCGAUCACACAAAGGAAGGACAAAAAUGUUGGCCACCUCCCUCCUCCCUAAGUUUUUUAAAAUGAAAAUAUUAAGUUUUUUUUAACAAACUUCAUUUUUAAAAAAUUAAGAAAUCAAAAUAUUUAUAAUGUUUUACAAAUUAAGAAUUAGUUUUUAGGAAAAACUACAGUUCUUGAAAAUGUAUUAAGAAAUAAAAGAAAAUGUGAAAAUUGCUCGAACAUUAAAAAAUCUCACAAUAAAACAAUUAAAAAAAAAGUAAGGACAUGAUAAAGACUUCCCAAUUAUGCAAGGACGGGGUCAUUUGGAUAGGAUAUCAAUAAGUAUUUAUGAUAUACAAAAACUAUUUUAUUGUCACUAUAAUUUCUCUUCAAAUUCAUAUAAUGUAUAAUGUUCCAAGUAGACACUCACUCCAAUGAAUAAUUAAUUCUCUUUUCCCAUGACAUAAGUUACUAAAUGCAUAUUAAUAGUUCUUCAUAAAGAGCAUACCUGAAGUGCAUUGGCAUCUGUUGUGAUCAUAUUUGUUAUCUUACCUGAUGGAAAGUUCUUUCGACCCUCAUGAGUUAAUUUCAAGGAUUUACGAAAUAUAGCAGCCACCUGCAAUUGGAAAAGGCUACGGUAAAAAUAGCUACCUCGUCCAGAAACAACAAAGCAAGAAUUUGGAUUUGGCAAACAACCAAAAUUCGAAAGAAAAAUAAUGUUGAAGGAUAUAUUUCAAAAACAAGUUCACAUACAUCUAAAUAUUGAUAAGAAAAUAGUUUUACCAGAGUUGACCUCAGCUGAAAACCAACACGCAUAACAUUCUGGAAAAACUGAGAUUCACAAAGCGCACCGAACAACUGAACCAUGUAAAUCAACCAAUUAAUCCAAAAACUACAUUCCAUUGGCAAAUAUCCAUAGCAUAAUAAAAUUAGCCAAACAAGAAGAAACACGAUUAGGAGAAUAAUAGGAGUGGCUAGCCACAUAGUCUAGCAACAUUUAGAUACAUGAAGAUUUGCUUGAUUUUAUUUGUCACAAUAUUAAACAUAGUCCAGCCAUACCAUGUAUCUCUUAAACCAACAACUCGUUCCAUUGUGCAAGCAAGAUUGGUUGCUAACAUGGAAAUCUUGGCUUGUUUAAACCCUUAGAUUGGGAGUGAGGGAGAGGGGUACCAUAAAAAUCAGAACUUUGAAAGUUAUCAAAGGUAUCUCAAUCACAUUAUGAAUCCUGUUUUCCUACUUCAUUUACAUUAUUCUGAUUUUGUGACUUCCUGUUUUACAUAGGCUUCCCUGAAUCUAAUGUAGAUUUACCAUCUUAACAUUCGAAAAGAAAGAAAAAGUUCUAUCAUGGUCAAUGAAGUCCUGUAUCUUGAUAUCAAUAAUUAAAUGUGAUAUCAAAGAAAUUUAAAUAUUAAUUAUGACAUCGAGAUUAAUAGUAAUACAGAAAAAGAAGAAUGUAACAACACAUUACAGUGGCUAGUUAUACUAUGUUACAAGGAAAAUUAUGAGUGGUUAAGACUUCUUAAGUUUUUGGACUCGAUGAACAAGUAACAUUACCCUGAUGAUCAUGUGAGCAAGUGAUGCUCGGCUACCAAAGGAGAAAAGAUUGAAAUAAAGCAACAAAAAAUUAUGUAAAUCAAGGAAAAAUGAUCAAGAAAACAAUUAAAAAAACAACGAUAAAGCUAGAAUAAAUAAGUUUAAUGUUUUAAGCGACAAUUGAUAUGAUUUAUUUGAUUGAUUGGUGACAGUUUUGCUACAAAAUAAGCUACACUUCAUAUUUAUAUAAUCACAGUCAUAUAACAAACACUCUAUAGAAGGAAUACAAAUCCUCCAAAACUACUUAAUUUUUAAAUUGAUAACUUUCACAAUCAGUUAGCAUCACUAUCAAUAAUUCCAAAUACAAGUGUAACCUGCAGUUGAACAUUUUACGAGUACUAAAGGCUUCUCAAUUAUCAUUAACAGCAGUUAAAUGCUUAAAACACUGUUCUAUCAACUAGAAAAUCCCCAAAUAAAACGUAACCGAAUAUGUGCAAUUAAAUGAUGAAAUAUGUAAACUGAGUUGCUUGAAUGUUAAUACAUACAAUGGAAUAUAUUAUGUAUGCCAUAAGAUCAAGCUAAGGAAAUAAAACAGAUAACAUCAUACAAACAGUGAAAUUAAACAGAUGAAGGUAGAGAGAAAUGUUUAUACAUAUUCAAUUUGUUUCAUAUAAAAAUGAAAUUGAAAGAAUAGAUGAGUUCGAAUUCAUACCACCCCAAGGAAAAUUAUGAAGGCAUAGAUAUAACCAAUCCAAGCUGGAUCACCUCGUUGCAUUGACUGCAUGUAGUGGAACAAUUACAAAUUUGGCAGCAUAAGCACGAAGUGUAAGAGAUUUGAAUUGUGCUCCAUAUCAAAUUUGAGUUAAUCACUUGAACUAUUUCUAUCAUAGGAAAAAUGCUAUUCAAUAGAGCAAUUAUUGAAGCAUAGAAAAAAUAAUCCUUGACUAAAUGUUGAGAGACAUUUGGUGCAAUCAAGAAAGUACAUGACGGAUUAGCUAUCCCAUUUGACUAUUAUUUACAAGCACAUAAAAAGAAUAUAGAUUAUUAUUAGCAUUAUCAAAAUCCUUCUCUAUGAAAUCUAAAUAAAUUCUUACCAAAUUUGAAACUCUAGCUAACAGCAAAAUGGAUGUCAUGCAUUAUAUAAAACAAGGCAUUAACAAUAAAGAAACAGACCUGCAAGAGGUGGCUCAAUACAAUAGGUCCCACAAAUUGAGAAAGAUCAUUGCCAAUCUACAAGUAAAAAUAAAAAGGUAUAAGCUCCACGUGACUUGUGACAUUAGUAGAGAGUUCCUAAAGUCCACUUUGUUAGGUUUCAGUCUAGAACAUCAGUUUGGAUUGAAAUUGUUACAAUAGAAGAGAGAAAUUAUUGCAUGGUCCAUAACUGAUAAAGGUUGAAACUGAGAGUAUUCCCUACAAUUUAAGAGUUGAGGCCAUUUUGAUAUAUAUUAUGAGUCAAGAGUAAUAAUAUCCCAACAUGCAAUAGGAAAAUAAAACUAAAAAGCUCAAGCUUCCAGGUUCACCAAAUUCAAACUAUAACAUAGAAAAAGUACGGUCGAUAAUUUAUUGAGAAAUUAAACAAGUUAAAGCAAUCCUAGGAACAUGUACCUUAAAAAAUCCUCCCAACCAAAACCUACAGAAAAUGAUGAUAAAAAACGAAUAAAAUGCGAUUAAUACAUAUUGGUAAUAGCAAAAGAAAAUCUUUACUACAAUAAGCUAAACAGUAGAAACAUCUCAUGUAUUGUAAGUAAUUUUACAACACUCCUGAUAUGUUUUUCUGAUUUGAACCCCUAAACUGUAGGAUGUUUUCAUUUGUAUUUCUUCUCUUAGAUUUAUCCAUUUUAGUUUUUAAAUACCAUGUGCACACCAUCUGUUUUUCUCAUAAAUCAUCAAGAAAAGCAUACGAAUUUUAAGGGUUGAUUUCUUGAAGAUAAUUUGAUCAUAAUGUUGUCGGAGGCUGAUUUCUUGAUGAUUUUUUUAAUCAUUUUCUUUAAUGAUUUUGGAAAAUUUUAUAGGAAAACAACUGGAACUCAGAUUCUAAGUGAUGGAUAAAUGGACAUAAUCUAACAUACAGGGUCUAAAUCAAAACACCUUAUAAUUUAAGAGUUGAAAUAAGGGAAAACAAUUGUUCAAGGGUCUCAAUCAAACAAAAAACAUAUAAUUCAGGAGGUUUUACGAAGGAUAAAGCCACCAUUUGGUAUGUUUAAAGUCCAAUAAGUAUCAAAAUGAAAGGGAAUGAAACAACAUGAGACUUGCAAUUCAACCAAUACCUUCCCCCAAGACUAUUGUUUAGUGCUCUUAAGAGACGUGGCUGUGGCCUUUUAGAUUCUUCAACCCAACAAGUCUGGAACCUGCAAUAGCUGAAAACAUUUACGAAAAAAGGGAUACAAGGUUUCCCUUAAACUAUGAAAGAGAAGAACGUGGUGCAUACUUUUUUAUCAAUGUCUCAGUCUGGUCCCAUGUGUCUAACUUCCAAACAUCCUUUUCAGUAAUAGGUCUUUUAUGGCCUUGCUUCAUGAGUGGAGUCAACCAUCCAAAAAAUAUUCCUUGCAGAGGGAAAUGAAUCAAUAUAUCUAUAAGCAUUUAAAAAAUUAAUGACUAACCAGCUUAGCUAUCACUGAAACCACACUUUUGAUCUCUAGCCAACAUGCAGUUCAUUACUUUUUCUAUCUUAAGCAACCGCUUGAGAAAUAGAAGCAAGAAUUUUGACAUCUCUUGGCAUUGAGAACAGUGAAUAAUGAACUACUUACUAGAAAAUAAGUUGGCGUGCCUCUCAGGACAUAUUUGCUCUCUUCCAGGAAGUGCUUCAUAUUCACAAUUAUCAAGAGACUCAGAUUCCAUCAUAACAUAAUCUGGAUAAGGAUCCAAAUUGGGAAUAUAAACAAGUAGAAGAAUGCCAAGCAAAACCUGCAACAAAAGUAGCCACAUGGCAAAAUAUGACUGAGGUGUUUGUCAUUUUUGGGAAUGAUUAAGAAUUUGGUAAAGCUAACGAAACAAAAUUGAACUUCUAUGCCAAGAAUUAGUGUUGAUGUCAUCGGUGUAUUCUAAACAACUCAAUCGUUUUGGUAUCAAUCUGUAACAUCCAAGAUGUUGUGGUGGCCUGUGGAAAAAAAGUGGAUUCUAUCAAGGCUUAAGAACCUGCCAGGCAGUUCGAGAAAGAAACUGUAUCUAUUGGCUGUUUAGCAUCAGGAUAAAAGCCUAGAGGUUCCAACAGGCUCCAUCCUAUGAUCUAAAGAUGCCAAUAUCCAUGGCAUUGUCCACUCCCCACCUUUACCAACUUAAGAAAAUCCCAACAAAGAUAUGUUAAUGAGUAUCAAAACAUCCAAAACAAAGCAGCUUUCAUGUCAUUCUCACAAAACUUUAAAAAUUCUCCCUGGAAUGUUGUUGUUAGGUGCUUAAUUUAAAAAUGUUGUUGAUUUGGUUUAUAAGGCCAAGCCAGGCUAGGCUCAAGUUGUAAUGUCUUCCAAGGCCAUGGCAAGUGACUUCAGUUUUGAUAGACUGAAGCAGAGUCAAAAUUUGUACAAAAACAGCUAGAGAUGUCCACCUUAGCAUAAGCAUUUACCAACCCUGAUUGAAGACCAUUGAAUGGAUGAUAGGUCAAAGUAGCAUGAAGAAAGAUGAGAAAAUUAGAAGAGCUGAUAUACCCUAUAAUCUUUAUAUUAUAGAGAAAUAAAAGGCCACAAACCUGGCAGAAAACCGUGCUGAUAUACAUAUACAAUGUAAAUCUGCAUUCGCAAAAGAACUGUAGUUUAGUGUUGCCUCCAACAUAAAUUGAGAGAAUAUGAACAGCAGAAAAUAAUACUGUUAAUCCUGCAAGCAUCCUUAUCUAGAAUAACCAUGAAAUCUAUAUUAGUCAUGCCCAUCCAACCUCAUUGCAAAUUGCAUUUAUGCGAUAAACUUGCUUCUUGAGGCUUGUAUAGCAGGAUUACCUAUUCUCACCAACAAAUAGUUUAUUUCUGCAAAUGUUUGCACAAUGUCUUGACUUACACGCGGAUUGGAUUGUAUCAGAGUCCACUAACAGAUUGUUCAUUGGAAUUAAAAAUUCAGGAAUUUAAUCCCCACCCCACCCUUCCCUCUCUUUAUAAAUAAGAUGGCAGGACACUACUCCUGUUAAAAAAUUCAGCUUCUAAAAUUUUCCUUUUCAUAUUCUCAAUUGUGAAAAGUUCGGCAGAAGCCCAGAUUGUAAUUAUGGUCAACAUUACUAUCUUUCUAUUUUAUUUCCCCUGAAGGCUACUAUAUAAUUUAGUAUCACUCGUUUUAUCAACUAAGUAAUUACAAUAAUGUUCUCCAGCCAAUAGUACAACAUUGCUAUCUUUUUAUUUGAUGGGGCUGUUGCACAGAAAAAAAAAAAAAAAAAACCUUGCUCACAUUAAAUGGCACUCCAACCUGAUGGAAAAAUACACGAAAAAUAGAACUUGGUUGAGCUAAUUUAUUAAGUCAGGAAAUGGAAGAAUGACUAACCUACUGUAGUAAUCACUCACUGACAGUAUGAGAUUGAGCAUUGCCGCUUCCCCUACCAACACAUAAAUGACUCCAAACCGCACAUACCAUCGAAACUGUCGAAUGUAUAUUUUUGUUUCCAAACCAAUCAUGAUAAGAGUGGAACACCAGGCAAGGGCCUCAACAAUCAAGGAGACCAGCUGCAAAGGACAGAAAAUCUACUAAGAAGCCAGUAAAAUGAUUAUCAGAAGAACAAGUUAAUACAGAUUUUUUUGAAAAACAAAAGAAAAGAAAGACAGCCAGCAAAUGCUGAUUUAGAAAUAUGGUUUAUCUAUGACAGAAACAUUAGAAGUCUAAAUUAACGAGAAAUUAAGUUCAUGUACCUCGAAGGGAGAAAGGGAAGUCUGGCCAUCCAGGUUGAAGAUUGAGACAUCCAUAAACAACCUUAAUAAAGGCUGAACUGUGCAGUAAGCAGCCAAAAAACCCAGCAUGUAAUUAUAGUAAUUUGUCCUGAGACAGUAUUUUUGAACUUUGGUAUUGUUGUCAAUAAUCAACCAUAUUCGAUACAAGCACAGACCAAGAAGAACCAGAUGAGAAAUGCAAAUGACUAGGGAGUCAAUGGCACAGGGAGUGUAAGCACCAAAUGCAUUAUCCACUUCUUUUGCCCAAACCCCAUUUGCCAUAGGUCGACAAUACCAAACCAAUGCCUCCAAACCCAUCUUCCCACCUCCCUACGCAAACCAAAACUGCUUGUUUUACCUACAGUUGAUCAAACAGAGAGAGGAAAACAGAAGAAAAACAUAACAAAAUGAGUAACAGAGAACACAUCGCUAAGAAGAACAGUAAGUACAAAUAGUACUGAAAGAAAUCUCAAACAUAAACAAGUUUAAAUGAUAGAAUGGUCAACUUGCUUGUUCUGACACUCCUACUGGUCCUUUGCAGAACGAAUGAUAUCUGAGCGUGUUGAUUAACGUCAGAAACAUAAACCAGAGCUAGGAGUGUGGCUUUUUCAUUUUCAGGAUAGUCGCUUAUUGGUUUAAUUUAGUAAGGAGUAUAUAUUAUUAGUAAUAUUCAUGGAAAUACAAACGACAAAUGGAAAUCUAAUUCAAUGGGUUAGGUUUUAAAUUUAAUUUUUAAUGAUUAUAAGUUUGAGUGCUGAUUUAUAUAGUCAUUACUUUUUUAAAAGGUAAAAUUAAUCAUGCUAUAUACAACUUGUCUGAACUCUGAACAUCCAAGUUAAAAAAAAAAAAAUUCCAUAAUAGCAAGCGUCACGGCUUACGUGACUGGCACACCCCUCUUACUCUUAUUCUUAUUUAUGAACGAGUGAGUGAGUAGCAGGAAUCUAUACAACUAAUUUCCAAAGCUGGUGUUGCAUUUGGAAGCAUAUACUUUUACAUUAAUGAAGUCAGUGAUUGUUGUCUUAUAAUUGUAAAUUAAAAUGCCACCUAUGGCGGGGAGGGGAUUUGUAAGCCUCGGAUAAUUUAUUUCCACCCUUAUUUUGUCUCUUCUGUUGCUUGAUCUAGCUGGGUAUAUUUGAAAGUUUGGUUAAAAGUAAAUUACUUUUCAAAAUAAUAUAUUUUCCAAAAGCAUUCUUAGUUACUUUGCUUACAUCUCUAUUCUUAUCCAAUAAUCUGAGACUUUGAGUGUAUAUUGUUUUAUAUUUUUUUUUUUAUUGUUUUGAUAUGAUUGUUAAAAAUAAAUUUUAAAAAAUAAAAAAAUAUAUUAUUUUAAUAUAUAUUUAAAUUAAAAAAUAUUUAUCAUAAGUUUUAACAAUCUCUUAUUAACCCAUAACAAAAGGACUCACCAUUCAAAAGCGACCUUCAAAAUCUAUUGCAAUUUCAUGAAGUAUCAGAAUUAAACUGUGAAGAACAACACUUCGAGAAGUGAUUUAAAAUUUAUUUAGAAGUAUGGUAGUAAUUAUAAUUUAAAUUAUUUUUUGUUAAAAAAUAUAUAAAAAUAAUAUUUUUUUAAUUUUUAAAAAAUAUUUUAAUAUCAAUAUAUUAAAAUGAUUUAAAAAUAAAAAAUAAUAAUUUUAAACAAAAACAAAGAAGAAAUUUAAGAACACUUCGAGAACUGAUUUUUAAAUUUUUAAAAAACAUUGUUUCAAUUGCGUUCUCAAAUAUUAUUUUAAAGUCUAUUACCGGUGUGAUGUAAUUAUACUUUUAAAAAAAUUAUUUUUUAUAUUUUUAAUUAUUUUAAUAUGUUAAUAUUAAAAAUAAAUUUUAAAAAAUAAAAAAAUAUAUUAUUUUAAUAUAUUUUUAAAUAAAAAGUAACUUUACAAUCAACCUAUUAGAACUUUUAUCAAACACAUUAAAGGCACACAAUUUCUUACAGCGACACAACAACAACGAAGAAAAAAUCAUUGAAAGACAAAAACCCCAGUUUAAAACAAGAUUAAAAACUCACCUCCGAGAUCAGGAGGAUACCCAUGGUAAACGUAGCAUGUAUCUUUUUGCUAGCCAGAGCCAAACAGAAGCGAUCAACAUUCAACACAAAGAAUUCCCCCAUGAACUUAGCCAUCUGCAGACUCAACAUGCCACUUUGCCUUUGGGCAACAAAUUCAUGAAAAAGAAGAUAUUUAAGAAAAACGAACAAAGAGUAGUUUAAUCAUGUUAAGGCUUCACCUUAACAAAGCUAAAGAGCUUAAAAAUCGAAGAGAGAAUUAGAAGAAGAAAAGAAAUCGAGGGAGAAAAAUUAACAAUUAACAACUCUGACCAGCUAACCACCGUAACUAUCUGACUUUCAUCACACGCCCUUCUUUAUAUUUACACUUGCGAAAUAAUUUAUUUUUUCAAGAGAAAAAUUUCAUCUUUUUUCCUGCAUCAUCAGAAUACAAAACGAGGAGGUGAAAGAGAGAAGUAGAAACUUGAAGGGUGAUUGAAAGUGUGGUAUCGGUUGUUUUUGAAAUAAUUUUUUAUGUUAAAAUAUAUGUUAAUGAUAUUUUUUUAUUUUUUAAAAAUUAUUUUUAAAAUUAUUUUAUUAAAACAAUUCAAAAUAUAUAAAUUAUAUUAAAUUUUAACAAAAAAUAAAAAUUUAAAUUUUUUAAAAACACGGUCUGUUUGAAUGAACUCUUGAUCGAUCACGUGAUCUUUGGCCAAAACACUUAACUUAUACUACACUUUUUAAAAAUAUAUAUAUAUUUUUUGAAUCAUUUUAUUAUAUACUUCUAACUUAAGAUUAUUUUAACUCCUUUUAUUUAUAAAUUAUCUAUGAAAUAGUUUUUAAAUUAAAACCUAAAGUCGCAUUCCAUGAGCUCAAGAUUAUAAUAAUUACUUGCUUACUAGAGAGAGGUUCCUGGUUUUUAUAACCUUUUUAUAGCUAAUUAGCACAUUGGGUAAAUUUAAAUUUAUUUUUUAAAUUAGUAUAGUUAAAGAAAUAAUUUUCACUCUAAGAUAAAGAUAAUAGUUGUGCAUGUAGCAUGCACAACCUAUAGUUCAUAACAUAUAGUUGUUGCGAAUGUUCUAUCAUUUGAUUUAGUUUAGCUAGGUUUUUUUUUUUUUUUUCAGGGAGUAAUAAUGUAGAUUACCUAGUUAAAAAAUUUUAAUGAAUUUUACUAUAAGUUGUAUAUUUACUACAUGUGUAAUUAUUGUUUAUGAGAUAUAAUGAAAAUUAUUUUCUCAUUGGAAAAUAAUUUUAUCUACAGUGUUAAUGUGCGGAAAAAACUCAUUUUUUUUUUAUCAUCAUCAACUACAAUAACAACAAUAAAGGGUAAAAUUACCCUUAAAAAAUACUUAAAAUAAAUUCUAAUUUCUUCAAAAGAAAUCCUCCUUUCAAUAGGUAGUUAUAAAUACAGUCAAUACAAAAUUGUUAGUGAUAUCUAGUCCUUCUAAAUAAGAGUUUAUAACAUUGUUUAAUUAGAUUACUUUCUGACCGAUACUCCACCAAAGUCGUUGUAGUAUAGUGGUAAGUAUUCCCGCCUGUCACGCGGGUGACCCGGGUUCGAUCCCCGGCAACGGCGCUUGUCUUUUUAAUCUUAAACGCCUCUUCUUGAUUACUUCUAUUAAAGCCUAACGAAGUAAUAAACCUUCGUUGUUAAAAUUGAAUUUAUUAACAACCUAGUUAUAAGAUUUGGUUUGAUUUAAAAUAUCAAUUCAAUAGCCUGUAAACUACACUCAGUUCGGUUUACGUUAAUAAAAAAAAGUCUAUAAUUUUUAUUAAAAUAAUAUUAUUUUUUAUUUUUAAUAAAUCCAAGCUUGGAUAAAUUUACUAAUUUUACAAUUUAAUAUAUUCGCCUCAUAAUUCUUGGUCUUAUAACUAUGAACAAGAAUUAAAAAUUUGUUUGGAUUGUAUAAUUAAUUCAAUCACUUUAUGGCAUCUCUCUCAAAACAGGAAACAUAAACUUUAAAAUUUAGACACUCAUGUCAUGAUGUCAAUUUAAUACAAUAUACAAGCCUUAAAAUUUGUCCAAUUGUUAAAAUUUAUAUUGUACACAUUACUUUAUGUUAUUAAUUAAUUUUAAUUACAAAAAAGAUAAAAAUAAUAAGAUUUAAACUUAUAAUUGCUUGGUCAACAACUUUAAUACCAUAUCAAAUUAUUAUUUCAAUCCAAAAAUCUAAAUUAUUAAAUGAAAUCUUAAAAUAUGAUUUAUAUUAUUAUCUAACCUAUAAUAUAAAAUAGAAGGGUUUACCCUUUAUAUUUUUAUUUUUAUUUUAUACAAAUUUACUUGAUAAAAAACAUGGCAUUAUUGAUAUGAUUUCAUGUUUAAUUUGAUGAAUAUGUUUAUGUAUAUUGUAGAAAAGUGAUUGUUUAAUAAGGAAAUACCUAAUUUUGCUUCUAAAACAAAAAGACAAAGAAGAGACUAAUUAAUUUGUACAGGUGGAAAGACUAAUUAAUCAAAACACUUUGUAUAGGAGGAAACAUUUAUUAAUCAAUAAUAAAUUACUAAGUAUAAAAUCCCUUUACUAAUUACAAAACCUGGAUAAGGUAAUUGGAUGGAAUAUAGUUCAAAAGAAUUCAAAAAAUAAAAAACCCAGACUUUAUAGGUAUUUAGAAAAUAAAAUUAAAAAAAAACUUUUUUUUUUAUAUUCAACGGUAAAGAUAAUCACUCUUAAUCUUUCUAAUCUUAUUAUAAGAAAAAUUAAAACAUGUGGGAAAACAGUAUAGUUUUCUUCAUAAAACACUAUAUAUAUAUAUAUAUAUAUAUAUAUAUAUAUAUAUAUUAACACAUGGUUUUUUUUUCUUUUCCUUUUCCUUUUGUUUUUUUUAUAAUAUUUUUCAAAAUUUCUUUUGUCGAUUCAUUUUUUAAUAUUUGAAAUAGUUAAAAAUUUAAUUUUGUAAUUUUUUUUCUUUUAUUUUGUCUUUCUAUGAAGCUAGCGUGUUUUGCGGAUUUGUCAAAAUAAUCCAAGUUGCCCUAGUUUAUGGAUUUGGUGGGUUUUUUUUAAUUAAACUUGGCUUUUUUAUAGUCUAUUUUUUUUCUCAUAAUGUUAAAAAAAUAAUUUUAGAGAAAAAUCAUGUUAUUAACUUUAUAAAGUAACAAAAUUAAAAGAUGUAGAGGAAACCACUAUUCACCCAACACUGUUUACACUGUAGAUUACAAUAUUAAUCAAUACUGUUUUGCUUUCUUUUUUUAUUUUAUUUUUAUUUUUGAAUUUUUUUAUGAUUUUUUUUUCAAAUAUAUUUUUGUCGAUUUUCAUCUUUUAAAAUUGAGAUUGUUGAGAAUUUAGUUUCGUAAUUUGUUUCUUUUUAUUUUGCCUUUAUACGAGGUAAACAUGGUUUACGAGUUUGUCAAAGUAACCUAAGUUGCUCUAGUUUACGAGUUUGGUGAGUUGUAUUUUUUUUUAACUGAACUUGACUUUUUUUAUAGUCUAUUUUUUCUCAUAUAGUUAAAAAAAUAAUUUUAGAAAAUAGUCAUGUUAUUAAAUUUUAUAAAAUAACAAAAAUUAAAAGGGUGUAAAUAAACCAUGGUAAUCCACAAUAAUCCACAAUCUAUAGUGUUUUCCUAUAGAUUGCCAUAGUGUUUCCUCAUAUAUUUGUUUUUUGAACACAUGGUUUUUUUACCUUCUCCUUUCUUUUUUGUUUUUUUAUAAUUUUUUUCAAAAUUUGUUUUGUUGAUUUCAUUUUUUAAUAUUGAGAUAGUUGAGAAUUUAGUUUUGUAAUUUUUUUAAUUUUGUCUUUCUAUAAAGUUAGCGUGAUUUGCGGAUUUGUCAAAAUAACUCAAGUUGCCUCAGUUUAUGGAUUUAAUGGGUUUUUUAAUUGAACUUGGUAUUUUUAUAGUCUAUUUUUUUAUUCUCAUAACAAAUAAUUUUAGAGAAAAACCAUGCUAUUAAACUUUAUGAAGUAACAAAAAUUAAAGGAUGUGGAGGAAACUAUUGUUCACCCAACACCUAUUGCACUGUGGAUUACAAUAGUAAUCCAUAAUGUUUUGCUUUCUUUUUUUUUUUUGAAUUUUUUUAUGAUUUUUUUUUCAAAUAUACUUUUGUCGAUUUCAUUUUUAAAAAUUGAGAUUGUGGAGAAUUUAGUUUCAUAAUUUGUUUCUUUUUAUUUUGCCUUUAUACGAGGUUAACAUGGUUUACGGGUUUGCCAAGGUAACCUAGGUUGCUCUGGUUUAUGGGUUUGGUGGGUUGUAUUUUUUUUUCCUUUUAUUUUAAUUGAACUUGGCUUUUUUUUAUAGUCUGUUUUUUUUAUAUAAUUAAAAAAAUAUUUUAAAAAAAAAUCAUGUUAUUAAACUUUAUAAAAUAACAAAAAUUAAAAAGGUGUAAAGAAAGUAAGAAACCAUUGUUCAUCCACAUACAUUGAACUAUGAAUAACAAUAGCAAUCCACACUAUUUUGCUUUCUUUCUGUUUUUGAAUUUUUGUUAUAAUUUUUUUUUUAAAUUUGUUUUUGUCGAUUUUAUCUUUUUAAUAUUGGGAUGAUUGAGAAUUUGACUUCAUAAUUUGUUUCUUUAUUUUACCUUUCUAUAAGGUUAGCACGGUUUGCGAGUUUAUCAUAGUAAUACAGGUUGCUCUAAUUUACGAGUUUGGGGUAGUGUUUUUUUAAUUGAAGUUAAUUUUUUCAUCAUCCAUUUUUUUCUCAUAUAGUUAAAAAAAUAGUUUCAGAAGAAAAGUUAUGUUAUUAAACUUUAUAAAGUUCAUGAAUCUAUUCACAUGUUUGGCUAGUUGACUUGGUUCGCGGGUUUGACAAUUUAAUUUUUAAAUUAGUUUUUUUUUCAUCCUUAUAUAAUGUGUUAAUUGAGAAUCCAAUUUUAUAAUUGGUUUUGUUUCCCCUUUUAUGAGGUUAUCGUAAUCUAAACAAACAUCUCGAUAUUGAGUUGACAUUUGAUUUCACAAUCAUUUAUUUUAUUAUCAUAUAAUUAAAUAAAAAAUAGUUUAAAAAAAAAACAAAUUAUAAUCCUAGUGGAGUCCAUAACUUAGUUCACAAGUUUGACAUACUAGCCUAGCUUACCUGAUUUACAGGUUUGAUAAGUUUACCCAUGGAUAAGAUAUGUUUUUUUUUUUGUCUUUUAAUUGUUUUUUAUUUUUUUUAUUUCAUCAUUUAAUAUUAGAUUUGUUGGGAAAUGGAUUGCAUUAUUGAUUUUUAUUUACUUUCUAGGGAUAAUUGUCUCAAAUAAGUGUUUAUUUUUAGGUUGGUGCUCAAUUUUAUGAGUAUUUAUUUUUAUCAUAUAAUUAAAGAAAAAAUAUUUAUAAGAAAAAGUUAUUAAACCCAAUAGAAUCCAUGACCUAGGUAUUAUAAUUCCAUUAGAAUUCAUAACUUAGUUCACAUGUUUGACGUACUGGCUCACCUUACCCAAUUCAUAGGUUUGAUGAGUUUACCCAAUGAUAGGAUAUGUUUUUUUUUGUCUUUUAAUUGUUUUUAGUUUUUUUUAUUUCAUCAUUUAAUAUUGGAUUUAUUAGGAAAUGGACUGCAUUAUUGAUUUUUGUUUGCUUUCUAAAGAUAAUUGUCUCAAAUAAGUAUCUAUUUUUAGGUUGAUGCUCAAAUUUAUGAGUAUUUAUUUUUUUUAAAAUUAUCAUAUUGAAGUUUUUUUAAAAACUAAGUCAUGUUUUUAUUGAUUAUCAAGGUUGCAUUUGAACCUAUGAAAUCGAUUGAUUUAAGUCGAGCUAUCUCUCUCACGGUUUAAUUAAAAACUUGAGUAAGACAAAGAGUUAAGAGUCAGGAGAUUUUAAAAUUAACCCAUUUGAUCAGAUUUAAUAACACUGUUAAAAAAUUCUUUAUACUCUUAAUAUUUUUUCAUAUUUAAAAAAAAAUAGUCUAACUUGUAAUGGAACAAUAUACUAGAUACAAUUAAAAUAUGUGUUUAUGCUACCACUUUUGGAAUCAAGCAAGCAAACUUUAACAACUCACAAGACUUCAAAGAAAAAACUUGUAUUCAUUGAUGAAAAUCAUGCUUCCAAACUGGAACUCUUUCUGCCGUGCCAAUAUCAUGCAGUGGUCCGAAAACCCAUACCAGCUUAGCUCCUCAAGUUCAGAUCAAUGCUAAAUUCCCCUGAUAUGGGAUUGACUGUGAUAACUAAUACAAUAUGGGGGGAUUUCAAUUGUACAUCAAAAGUUUAUGUAGCAGAGGUUCUCUUUACUUUCAGUAGUCCCAUCUGAAAUUUGCUACUGGAUGAUCGCUCAAAAUCGAGUUACCACCUUUCUCUGUUGAGGUGCAGACUAGAGUAGACUCAUUUCUUAGAACAUCAAAUUUCCCAUUGUUCCCUAAAUUUUCAAAUCAUCCCAAUCAAGGGGUUCAUUUUCAUAAUCAUAUUGUUGAUGCCUACCGCGUGACAACCUGCCCAUUACAGCCAAACCUGAAACAAGCCGGCCAUGUUGAAUCAGAAAGUGUAGGCAAAACCACUUAUACCUGAUCGUCAAAAUUCACUAAAAAAUAGAAUAACCACGGUUGUUGUAAUGAAUCAACUUCUACCACAACUACAAUGCUUGUGCACGCAUGCAAGUAAUCACUGAACAUAUGUUUAGUGUAUGCACACAGGAAAAUCUUGGCUGUACCUUCAAUCAUUCUGUAGAAAGCUGACCACCAUCCAUCUUGGGGAACUUGGCUCUGUUGCAGUGUAUCACAUAUCGCUUCAUCAUACUUCCCCACCAGGACAUCCUGCAGCCUUAUAACUGCAUCUUUCGUUUUCCUGAGGAUGUUGUCCUCGUCUCCAACAUCCAACAUUGGAAGACCAUUCUCUGAAGAAGUGAGACUAACAACCAGGGCCAGUUGGGCAGCUGCAGCCCAUCUUGAAGAGUCUAUCCAUCUAUGAUCAUUCUUCCUUUUACUCAACUUAUUCUCUUUACUUUCAAACACCAGGCUAUACAAGUAUUGAGCAUUUGCUGGACCUGUACUUUGAACCAUCCUAGAGAAUGCGCUUCCUUCGUUUGGUAGUAGCAGUUCCUCUGGGGUGCCAUGUUCUAAGACCUGAAAGGUUGAAGAUUCUAACAUGAGUUAAACAAAGGAUCACUACAUGACAUAUUGGAAUCAUAAAAAUUUGUGAAUGAAGUUGGUUAGCAUGAAAAUUCUUGAUGAUCCCUGCUUCUUUCUUUUUUUACAUUAAUUUUUUCAGGAUUGUGUUCAAUAAACUCAGUUUUCCAAGCAAGAAGGAAACAGGGAACAAAUUCCUUGCAAACAUAAUUUGAGAGCAUACCUGACCAGCCUCAAGCACAAGAAUUCUGUCGCAGUCAAUAAUGGUAUUUAGUCUGUGAGCGAUGACUAGCAUUGUGCACGAUCUGAAUUCUUCUCGAAUGGUUUUCUGGAUAAGAGCAUCGGUUCUAACAUCAACAGAAGCAGUAGCUUCAUCAAGAACAAGAAUCUUAGAUCUUCGCAGCAGCGCUCGUGCGAGACUUAGUAGUUGUCUCUGUCCAACACUAAAAUUCUCCCCUCCCUCAAAAACCUUAGACACCAAAACAAAUCAACUUUACAGUUUGCUUUACCUGAUAAUCAACUUAAUGCUGUGCACAUCUUAAAAAGAUAUGUAUUAAAAACAUUUCUUUGACUUAAAUCAGCUUUAAUGAAAAUCGAUGCCAUAGCUUUUUAGUAGAAUGUUUGCAGUGGAGAACUAUUUCCACCCAUAUGUGUGCUUCAUAUUAGUUUUUGUCACACAUUUUUAACAAUGUUUUUAAAAUAUAUGAAUAGCUAACACAGUUUGACUGAUUAAGAUUCACUGACAGAAGGUUGUUUGAUAAAAGGUAAUCUAAGUCCAUACCUCAGCAUCCAGACCAAAAGAAUUAUUUCUAAUGGCAUCCUUUAAAUGUGCCCUCUCCAA
This 25688-nucleotide long non-coding RNA is filed under the name Populus trichocarpa (black cottonwood). RNAcentral describes it as "long non-coding RNA (PTRI_LNC001132)". The stretch from base 19396 to 19467 matches the Rfam family "tRNA". Lineage: Eukaryota; Viridiplantae; Streptophyta; Magnoliopsida; Malpighiales; Salicaceae. The record is from RNAcentral.